RNAcentral lists this ribosomal RNA (279 nucleotides) under uncultured Prevotella sp. RNAcentral's name for it is "partial 16S ribosomal RNA". It matches the Rfam family "Bacterial small subunit ribosomal RNA", at positions 64 to 339 of the family's 1533-position model. The record is from RNAcentral. Lineage: Bacteria; Pseudomonadati; Bacteroidota; Bacteroidia; Bacteroidales; Prevotellaceae.
AAACGACAUCGAAAGCUUGCUUUUGAUGGGCGUCGACCGGCGCACGGGUGAGUAACGCGUAUCCAACCUGCCCACCACUUGGGGAUAACCUUGCGAAAGUAAGACUAAUACCCAAUGAUAUCUCUAGAAGACAUCUGAAAGAGAUUAAAGAUUUAUCGGUGAUGGAUGGGGAUGCGUCUGAUUAGCUUGUUGGCGGGGUAACGGCCCACCAAGGCGACGAUCAGUAGCCGGACUGAGAGGAAGGUCCCCACAUUGGAACUGAGACACGGUCCAAACUCC